This 801-nucleotide ribosomal RNA is filed under the name uncultured bacterium. RNAcentral describes it as "bacterial SSU rRNA". It matches the Rfam family "Bacterial small subunit ribosomal RNA", at positions 8 to 798 of the family's 1533-position model. The record is from RNAcentral.
AGAGUUUGAUCAUGGCUCAGAUUGAACGCUGGCGGCAGGCCUAACACAUGCAAGUCGAGCGGUAGCACAAGAGAGCUUGCUCUCUGGGUGACGAGCGGCGGACGGGUGAGUAAUGUCUGGGAAACUGCCUGAUGGAGGGGGAUAACUACUGGAAACGGUAGCUAAUACCGCAUAACGUCUUCGGACCAAAGUGGGGGACCUUCGGGCCUCACGCCAUCAGAUGUGCCCAGAUGGGAUUAGCUAGUAGGUGGGGUAAUGGCUCACCUAGGCGACGAUCCCUAGCUGGUCUGAGAGGAUAACCAGCCACACUGGAACUGAGACACGGUCCAGACUCCUACGGGAGGCAGCAGUGGGGAAUAUUGCACAAUGGGCGCAAGCCUGAUGCAGCCAUGCCGCGUGUGUGAAGAAGGCCUUCGGGUUGUAAAGCACUUUCAGCGAGGAGGAAGGGUAGUGUGUUAAUAGCACAUUGCAUUGACGUUACUCGCAGAAGAAGCACCGGCUAACUCCGUGCCAGCAGCCGCGGUAAUACGGAGGGUGCAAGCGUUAAUCGGAAUUACUGGGCGUAAAGCGCACGCAGGCGGUUUGUUAAGUCAGAUGUGAAAUCCCCGCGCUUAACGUGGGAACUGCAUUUGAAACUGGCAAGCUAGAGUCUUGUAGAGGGGGGUAGAAUUCCAGGUGUAGCGGUGAAAUGCGUAGAGAUCUGGAGGAAUACCGGUGGCGAAGGCGGCCCCCUGGACAAAGACUGACGCUCAGGUGCGAAAGCGUGGGGAGCAAACAGGAUUAGAUACCCCGGUAGUCCAA